GGGGAAGAAAUCCCUGAAAUUUCUGAGCACACCUUGCUUUUUAUGCUGAAGCCUUUCCCCUUUCAAAGACAACUCUUGGCCUCUCCAACUCCCUGCUUCGCUUUCUAAGCUCCCACGAGGUAUGUGGAUGGCAGGUAGGUGUGACAGCGAGAGGCAUCAGUGUAAUCAUUAAGAUGGUAAUGUCUCCUGCCAGCUCUUCCUUCCCUCAGAGUCACUCCAGUGUCCUGAAUGCACAGGGGGCAUGGAGGAGCAAUGAGGCAGGGCUUCAUCAGUAGCUGUCAAAUGCAGAAAUAAAUAACUUCAAGUAAUGUAACCUCA
Long non-coding RNA from Pezoporus occidentalis (night parrot), 318 nucleotides. RefSeq lists it as uncharacterized. The record is from RefSeq and is a predicted model, not a curated record. NCBI's taxonomy places the organism in Eukaryota, Metazoa, Chordata, Aves, Psittaciformes, Psittacidae. The transcript has 2 exons.